AGAGGGGGAUAACAUCCGGAAACGGGUGCUAAUACCGCAUAGGUGAACGGAGCGCAUGCUCUGUUCAUUAAAGAUGGCCUUGUGCUAUCGCUUAUGGAUGGACCCGCGGCGUAUUAGCUAGUUGGUGAGGUAAUGGCUCACCAAGGCAAUGAUACGUAGCCGACCUGAGAGGGUGAUCGGCCACACUGGGACUGAGACACGGCCCAGACUCCUACGGGAGGCAGCAGUAGGGAAUCUUCCACAAUGGGCGAAAGCCUGAUGGAGCAAUACCGCGUGAGUGAAGAAGGUCUUCGGAUCGUAAAGCUCUGUUGUUAGAGAAGAACACGCAGAACAGUAACUGGUUCUGCGCUGACGGUAUCUAACCAGAAAGUCACGGCUAACUACGUGCCAGCAGCCGCGGUAAUACGUAGGUGACAAGCGUUGUCCGGAUUUAUUGGGCGUAAAGCGAGCGCAGGCGGUCUUUUAAGUCUGAUGUGAAAGCCCACGGCUCAACCGUGGAUGGUCAUUGGAAACUGGAAGACUUGAAUGCAGAAGAGGU
Molecule: ribosomal RNA, 538 nt
Filed under: uncultured bacterium
Lineage: Bacteria
Description: bacterial SSU rRNA
Rfam family: Bacterial small subunit ribosomal RNA
Source: RNAcentral